RNAcentral lists this non-coding RNA (45 nucleotides) under Trichobilharzia regenti. The record is from RNAcentral. Lineage: Eukaryota; Metazoa; Platyhelminthes; Trematoda; Strigeidida; Schistosomatidae.
AUCCAGAUGACGAGUCCCAAAUAAGACGAAAUGUGCAUCAUGGAU